CAGCUCCACAGGUCAGCGCAUCCACGCAGGUCAGAAGCCCUCCUGAUGGAUCACGGCCGGGUGCCUUCUAAGCGCUUGGCCGCAGGUUCGAGUCCUGCCGGGGGCUGGCCA
Molecule: transfer RNA, 111 nt
Filed under: Streptomyces sp. 769
Lineage: Bacteria; Bacillati; Actinomycetota; Actinomycetes; Kitasatosporales; Streptomycetaceae
Description: tRNA-Arg (TCT) (tRNA-Arg-TCT-2-1)
Source: RNAcentral